RNAcentral lists this ribosomal RNA (396 nucleotides) under uncultured bacterium. RNAcentral's name for it is "partial 16S ribosomal RNA". It matches the Rfam family "Bacterial small subunit ribosomal RNA", at positions 523 to 918 of the family's 1533-position model. The record is from RNAcentral.
AUACGUAGGUGACAAGCGUUAUCCGGAUUUACUGGUCGUAAAGGGCGUGUAGGCGGUCUUGCAAGUCAGAAGUGAAAUUCCUGAGCUCAACUCGGGCGCUGCUUCUGAAACUGCAGGACUUGAGUGCUGGAGGGGAUAGCGGAAUUCCUGGUGUAGCGGUGAAAUGCGGAGAUCUAAGGAGAUACACCGGUGGCGAAGGCGACUGAACGGGAGCUUAGGGACGCCGAGGCUCGAAUGCGUGAUGCAAAAACAGCAUUAGAUACCCCCGUAGCCCACGCUGUCAACGAUGAUUACUAUGUGUGGGGGGACUGACCCCGUCCGCGCCGCAGGUACCACAAUAAGGAAUCCCCCUGGAGAGUACGGUCUCAAGGUGGAAGCUCAAAUGAAUUGGCGGGG